GUGCUCGCUUCGGCAGCACGUAUACUAAA
This 29-nucleotide small nuclear RNA is filed under the name Cervus elaphus hippelaphus. Lineage: Eukaryota; Metazoa; Chordata; Mammalia; Artiodactyla; Cervidae. The record is from RNAcentral.